RNAcentral lists this ribosomal RNA (253 nucleotides) under uncultured bacterium. RNAcentral describes it as "partial 16S ribosomal RNA". It matches the Rfam family "Bacterial small subunit ribosomal RNA", at positions 524 to 776 of the family's 1533-position model. The record is from RNAcentral.
UACAGGGGGUGCAAACGUUGCUCGGAAUUACUGGGCGUAAAGCGUGCGCAGGCGGUUUUGUAAGUCAGAUGUGAAAUCCCCGGGCUCAACCUGGGAACUGCGUUUGAAACUGCAAGGCUAGAGUAUGGGAGAGGGAGGUAGAAUUCCACGUGUAGCAGUGAAAUGCGUAGAGAUGUGGAGGAAUACCAGUGGCGAAAGCGACACCCUGGCAUUAGCCUGACGCUCAUGUGCGAAGGCGUGGGGAGCGAACGGG